This is a non-coding RNA of Doryrhamphus excisus (bluestripe pipefish), 1145 nucleotides long. Lineage: Eukaryota; Metazoa; Chordata; Actinopteri; Syngnathiformes; Syngnathidae. The record is from RefSeq and is a predicted model, not a curated record.
AGUCGUCAUUCGGCCAGGGAACGUUUCACACCCCAGAGACUUUAAAAGAGAUAAAACGCUCCGUUAGUUUUAUUCCGGGAAGCUUUAGGGCGUUAUCUCCCAGAUAUAGACCGACAUUUGCAGUGAAUUCUGAUUUGUUUUCAUGGUGUGAAAGUGUAUGUUGAAACAGGUUCAGUACGCCAAAGAAAAUAGUGCUAACACUUGCUGUUGUAAUUGUUUCUUUGACAAAUGCUUGGCUGAUUUGUUUCAACACGUCCAGUCCAGACUGCGCUCUACACGCGCGCGUGUGUGUAGGUGUGUGUGCUUACGUCAUAUUUGGUGAAGUACUUCAGCGUCCCUUCCCUCUCCGACAGGACAAAUCGCCUACUGAGGAACUGUCCGUUGUCCCGCCCUCUCUUCAUCAAGGCACCGUCUCGAGUACCUGCAGGAUCAAAGUGGGACAAACCCAGGGACUUCACCUUGCUCACAUCCGGGAUGUUGCGGUGGAUCCCGGAACAGGCCAGACAGAUGAAGACGCCCAACGAGGGGGAACCCCAGUCUGGAUCUGUGCAAAGAGAACAGGACAGCAUUGUUAUUGAACAGUGUGCACUCACAGUAACACGGUCCGCCUUGGAAGAACACAGCAUUCCUUAAAGAAGAUCAAGCCAAAUGAGAAGAAGCAGAAAGUCAAAAACAAACAAACAAAAACAAUAAAAAGUAUGGGCUGUCAAAAAUAACACAUUACGAGCAGUAACUUUAAAGGAAAACUACACUUUUUUGCCCAUCAUCCACGAACACACGUCUUUCUAAAGAUAUAAAAACAGCUAAAAAGAGACAAGUAAUUCAUGCAUGUAACGGGACACAUCUAUUCUGUCGAGAAAUAGGCAGCUCCAAGCCUUACCUUUUUAGGCUCUGUGAGCGAGUGUGUGAUGAAGCUAUUUGCUAGCCGGCUAGCAGCUAGCAGGUAUGGCAUCACUAUGGCAGUAACGUAGUUCUUUGAGGCAAUGUAAAUGUUAGGAAUCUGUAGGAAUCCGGAAGUGAGAAGGGUGCUAAGAAAGCUAAUUCUUAUAAAUUUCUGACUUUAUUUCUCUUAAAUUUAUUUUAUUUUCUCUUAAUGUAUGAUCCUUGUUAAUUUACAAAAUUUGUCAAAAUUUACAACUUAAUUC